Molecule: ribosomal RNA, 253 nt
Filed under: uncultured bacterium
Lineage: Bacteria
Description: partial 16S ribosomal RNA
Rfam family: Bacterial small subunit ribosomal RNA
Source: RNAcentral
UACAGAGGUCUCAAGCGUUGUUCGGAUUCAUUGGGCGUAAAGGGUGCGUAGGCGGCGCGGUAAGUCGGGUGUGAAAUCUCGGAGCUUAACUCCGAAACUGCAUUCGAUACUGCCGUGCUUGAGGACUGGAGAGGAGACUGGAAUUCAUGGUGUAGCAGUGAAAUGCGUAGAGAUCAUGAGGAAGACCAGUGGCGAAGGCGGGUCUCUGGACAGUUCCUGACGCUGAGGCACGAAGGUCAGGGGAGCAAACGGG